RNAcentral lists this ribosomal RNA (253 nucleotides) under uncultured bacterium. RNAcentral's name for it is "partial 16S ribosomal RNA". It matches the Rfam family "Bacterial small subunit ribosomal RNA", at positions 524 to 776 of the family's 1533-position model. The record is from RNAcentral.
GACAGAGGGUGCAAACGUUGUUCGGAAUUACUGGGCGUAAAGCGUGUGUAGGCGGUCCACUAAGUCGGAUGUGAAAGCCCUGGGCUCAACCCAGGAAGUGCACUCGAAACUGGUGGACUAGAGUAUCGGAGAGGUUGGUGGAAUUCUCGGUGUAGAGGUGAAAUUCGUAGAUAUCGGGAAGAACACCCGCGGCGAAGGCGGCUCUCUGGGACGGUACUGACGCUGAGACGCGAAAGCGUGGGGAGCGAACAGG